This 88-nucleotide transfer RNA is filed under the name bacterium. RNAcentral's name for it is "tRNA-Ser". It matches the Rfam family "tRNA". Rfam says of the family: Transfer RNA (tRNA) molecules are approximately 80 nucleotides in length. The record is from RNAcentral. RNAcentral also lists the same sequence under 2 other names.
GGAGGGGUGCGAGAGUGGUUUAAUCGGCUGGUCUUGAAAACCAUGCGUCUUCACCGACACGGGGGUUCGAAUCCCCCCCCCUCCGCCA